UACGUAGGGUGCGAGCGUUAUCCGGAAUUACUGGGCGUAAAGCGCACGCAGGCGGUUCGCCAAGUUUGGAGUGACAGCUGUCGGCUCAACCGACAAAGGACUUCAAAAACUGGUGAACUUGAGGACGAGAGAGGAACAUGGAACUCCAGGUGUAGUAGUGAAAUGCGUAGAUAUCUGGAAGAACACCAAUGGCGAAGGCAAUGUUCUGGCUCGUUUCUGACGCUCAGGUGCGAAAGCCAGGGGAGCGAACGGG
This 253-nucleotide ribosomal RNA is filed under the name uncultured bacterium. Its description in RNAcentral is "partial 16S ribosomal RNA". It matches the Rfam family "Bacterial small subunit ribosomal RNA", at positions 524 to 776 of the family's 1533-position model. The record is from RNAcentral.